RNAcentral lists this ribosomal RNA (253 nucleotides) under uncultured bacterium. Its description in RNAcentral is "partial 16S ribosomal RNA". It matches the Rfam family "Bacterial small subunit ribosomal RNA", at positions 524 to 776 of the family's 1533-position model. The record is from RNAcentral.
UACAGAGGUCCCAAGCGUUGUUCGGAUUCACUGGGCGUAAAGGGUGCGUAGGUGGCAGGGUAAGUUUGAUGUGAAAUCUCCGAGCUCAACUCGGAAAUGGCAUUGAAUACUAUCCUGCUUGAGGGUCGGAGGGGAGACUGGAAUUCCAGGUGUAGCGGUGAAAUGCGUAGAUAUCUGGAGGAACACCGGUGGCGAAGGCGGCAUCCUGGACCGGCAUUGACGCUGAGGCGCGAAAGCUAGGGGAGCAAACGGG